This is a non-coding RNA of Anas platyrhynchos (mallard), 2721 nucleotides long. Lineage: Eukaryota; Metazoa; Chordata; Aves; Anseriformes; Anatidae. The record is from RefSeq and is a predicted model, not a curated record.
CAGAAAUAUUUCCAAUAUUGGGGGGGGGACGGACUCACGCUCCGAAUCCUGCCGUUUCCCUACACGCAGUUGGGAUCUUAGUGUAAGAGCAGGAAAUAAUAAAAGCGUCCAGAUCUACGACCAACCAUAGCCGCGCUAGAGGUGGAGGUUGAUACUUCUCCCCCCCACCACCACCCACUUUUUCUAAAUCCACUUUCUGCGGCUUAAGACCAUUCUUCCUCACUGAGGAUUUCUUCCAGGGGGUGCAGGGAAGCAGAGGUUGGGGAGCAGCCGAACAAAAGGAUUCCCCCCGCUCGCGGACGCCUUCCCCACCCUUUCGCUGCUUCCCUCUGAUAGGAGCUCGCCCAUGCCCCAACGCCACGGCCUCUCCUUUGACGCAAUGCCACCGUGAAGAGGCUCAGCAUCACGGCGCAAAAGCUUCCAUCAAAAUUCAGUACGGGGCUGCGAAUCCUUGCACCAAGCACAUUCAUUUCUCGAACAAAACUACCGGGACUGGUACCAAAGCUCAAAUGCAUUUAACUGAACAAACAGCCACAGAAAGUUGCUUGUGAUCCUUCUCAGACUUUAACUGGCCAUUAAAAGUGUUACGGUGGCUUACGGGCGAUGUACGUGGUAAGGCACAGAGGGAUACAACUCUUCCAUCUGCAGGACUUCAGGCACACACACAGCCAGUCCGAACAACUGCUGCUCGAUACAGAUGUUGGAGGGGGCAAAUACUUCUUAUCUGGGUCAAGAAAAUCCCCCCUUCCAACACGGUGCCGUGGGUACCCACAGAGCCAGCCCUGUGUGCUCAGAAAGCCCGCAGGACAGUCAGGGAGGCUGAAGAGGACUAUUUUUCCCAGCACAGAGGUGACUGUUUGUACAGCCUGCAAGGCAGAAAAUGGAAGCUGUUUCAAACAUCCAGUAAUCAAGGGUGAAAACAGCUCUGACACCAGCUGUUAUAUGUGCAGAGGUUUAUGGCUGGCUUUACAGCAGAACUAACUGCAACUAGCAGAGGAUGGCUACACCCCCGGAUUUCAUAUUUUAAGAGGGAAAGAGACAGACUACAGACAACCUAAAGUUCCUAUGAAAACCAACAGCCUUCGACAAAAGCAGCGUGAAUUAAUAAGAGCGAAAGAAAAACAGAAGCUUUGUUCUAAAGUGGAAGCAUAAGAUGUGAAAUUUCAAAAUCAGAUGGCUUGGUCUGUGAUUUCUUUCAUUUAAAUGAAUUGAUCUGUUGCUAAACUGCUGCUCCUGUGCCAAGAAACUUUUAACUCUUUCGGCUCACAGCUCGCCGUGUUUUGCUCUUUGCUCUCCCCUCCCAAGCGCGCUACGAUUAAAGCAGAAGGCAGAAAUUAAAAACAAAAGGGGGGAAAUAAAAAACGAGAGCAUAAAAAACCGGGGGGGGGAUUAAACCCACGAGCGCAUAGAGAAGACAAAAGAGCCGCGAUAUGGAGCGUAGCGGUGCUUCGUUAGAACUUCGGACUGGAUAAACAGCGCGGUUCGUGUUCCUACAGCGCUGCUAAAACUUGGAAAGGAGACAGAAAGGCCUUCAACCCUCACAAUUCCACAUCCAGCAACAACUCCGGGGCAAACCCAACAGAAACAGGGCUCGCAGCAAGAAAAACAAGAGAAUCCCUGUCCUAAUUCAUUGUAAACAUUCACUUACCGAGAAUGCCUUAAGCAUUUCCAAUAGAACCCCCUUUCCUACACGUGUUCGCCUAUGUGGAAAGGAACAAGACAGCAAAGCGAAAAGCUCUCCAAAGCAGCCCGAAAGAUAGCUGUUUUGGUAAAAAUUUAGGUGAGAGUUCCUAGUGCUUUUCCAUUUUGCUUUGCGUUUGUUUUGCCCACUUAAAAAAAAAAAUAAAGUUAAAAAAAAAUAAAAAUGAGAAGAGACAUGUCGUAAUUAGAGAUAAUUCCAGGGGAAAAAAAAAUAUUUAUGUGCAGAACGACAACAAAAAGGUAUUUCUCUAUCUACAGAUCUCCCACUCUCCAGUUCUGCUGCAGUUCCCCCUGAACUGCUGCUGCUUGCUCCAAUCUGCUGCCUGCUUAACAGCGGAAUGACAGGCAACAUCUGUUUGUAUAGAAGCCAAAAUCAAGCCUUCAAAAUUUUUUUGGCUCAGUUUCUUUUUUUUUUUUCUUCCCUCUCACCCCCCCUCAUUCCCCCUCCCCCUGGAAAGCUUAAAAAAAAAAAAGAAAUAGAAGGAAAAGAAAAAGUAAAAGCACACAGAAAGGGUUGGAAAGCAGCUCAAGUGAGGCAGCAACUAUUUUCCCUCGAGUUAUUUCAAGGUACAGUACUUCGAGGAUAACUCUUUCCUCUCUCUCCACCCGCCGUCACCUCCUCCCCUGCUCUCCCCACCCUCCAGCCUUUCUCUUUGCCCCACGCUAUUAAUAAAGUAUCGCACAAACUGGGGGAAAAAAAAAAAUCCAACGUACCUGGAUCACUAAAAGGCCACUCCCUCCUUUGGGGAGGGAGGGAGGGGGUUCUUCAGGAGGCAACUAAAAAAAAAUUGGAUGGGGAGGGGAAUAAAGGGAUGGCUCGGGGGACAGUCGUGCCACAAUCCUCUCGCCCUUUUCUUUUUUUUUUUUUUCUUUUUUUUUCCCCUUUCCUCCAUUUUAUAGCCUAUAAAAUACAUCGUGCGUAUUUUCAAAAUAAAAAAAAAUAUAUAUAUAUGUUUUGAAAUAAAUAAAUACGAAAAAAAAUAAUAAUAAAAUAAAAUAAAAAAUCAGCCCGGAUCCAAA